UACGUAGGGGGCUAGCGUUGUCCGGAUUUAUUGGGCGUAAAGCGAGCGCAGGCGGUUUCUUAAGUCUGAUGUGAAAGCCCCCGGCUCAACUGGGGAGGGUCAUUGGAAACUGGGAAACUUGAGUACAGAAGAGGAAAGUGGAAUUCCAUGUGUAGCGGUGGAAUGCGUAGAUAUAUGGAGGAACACCAGUGGCGAAGGCGACUCUCUGGUCUGUAACUGACGCUGAGGCUCGAAAGCGUGGGUAGCAAACAGG
RNAcentral lists this ribosomal RNA (253 nucleotides) under uncultured bacterium. RNAcentral describes it as "partial 16S ribosomal RNA". It matches the Rfam family "Bacterial small subunit ribosomal RNA", at positions 524 to 776 of the family's 1533-position model. The record is from RNAcentral.